CCUACGGGUGGCCGCAGUGAGGAAUAUUGGUCAAUGGCCGUAAGGCUGAACCAGCCAAGUAGCGUGAGGGAAGACUGCCCUCUGGUUUGUAAACCUCUUUUAUGCGGGGGUAAAGGUGUCCACGUGUUGAUGUUUGCAGGUACCGCAUGAAUGAGGACCGGCUAGUUCCGUGCCAGCAGCCGCGGUAAUACGGCAGGUCCGGUCGUUAUCCGGAUUUAUUGGGUGUAAAGGGAGCGUAGGUCGGUCUUUAAGCGUGCCGUGAAAUUUUGUGGCUCAACCAUGAGAGUGCUGCGCGAACUGGAGACCUUGAGUACGCGGAAGGCAGGCGGAAUUCGUGGUGUAGCGGUGAAAUGCUUAGAUAUCACGAAGAACCCCGAUGGCGAAGGCAGCCUGCCGCAGCGUUACUGACGCUGAGGCUCGAAAGCGCGGGUAUCGAACAGGAUUAGAUACCCGUGUAGUC
This 460-nucleotide ribosomal RNA is filed under the name uncultured bacterium. RNAcentral's name for it is "partial 16S ribosomal RNA". It matches the Rfam family "Bacterial small subunit ribosomal RNA", at positions 338 to 795 of the family's 1533-position model. The record is from RNAcentral.